This 423-nucleotide ribosomal RNA is filed under the name uncultured beta proteobacterium. RNAcentral's name for it is "bacterial SSU rRNA". It matches the Rfam family "Bacterial small subunit ribosomal RNA", at positions 958 to 1385 of the family's 1533-position model. The record is from RNAcentral. Lineage: Bacteria; Pseudomonadati; Pseudomonadota; Betaproteobacteria.
AACGCGAAGAACCUUACCUACCCUUGACAUGGUCGGAAUUCUGCUGAGAGGCGGAAGUGCUCGAAAGAGAACCGACACACAGGUGCUGCAUGGCUGUCGUCAGCUCGUGUCGUGAGAUGUUGGGUUAAGUCCCGCAACGAGCGCAACCCUUGUCAUUAGUUGCUACGAAAGGGCACUCUAAUGAGACUGCCGGUGACAAACCGGAGGAAGGUGGGGAUGACGUCAAGUCCUCAUGGCCCUUAUGGGUAGGGCUUCACACGUCAUACAAUGGUACAUACAGAGGGCCGCCAACCCGCGAGGGGGAGCUAAUCCCAGAAAGUGUAUCGUAGUCCGGAUUGUAGUCUGCAACUCGACUACAUGAAGUUGGAAUCGCUAGUAAUCGCGGAUCAGCAUGUCGCGGUGAAUACGUUCCCGGGCCUUGUA